UUGGUUUAAAGUGGAGGGAAGAAUAGAUGCGGCGCCAAUGAAGUUUUGAUAUAUAUGCAUGAUGGGUUCAGCUGCCUUAUUUAAUUAGCUGAGCCAAAACCUACAUAUACGGAUGCAUAAGCUAGCUUUGCGCUCGCCAUGAAUACACCCCCUCCAUGGCGCAGAGGAAACGAAGAGAGGACCGGUGAGGCUUGCGCCAUCAGCUCCUCCUGGCGAUGCGAAUAGACAAGGAGGAGCCGUGCAUCAAAUCAAUUCUUCCGAGACAGCUUCAAGGCCGAGCAGAGAGCUCUAAACGAAAACAUGGAGAGACUAACACGACAACGGAACUCACUUGGACAAGGAAUCCUGUAGGAAAUCUCCAUCCAAGCUAACACGAUCCACAAGCUCGUUGAAAAUGGGAGCCAACUCGCACGCCUGACUCCAGAAAGAUUCCGGGAGACGCGCCGGGAGCAGGGAGAUUGGAGCAUGGACCAAGCCAACUCCAGGAACUGUUCCUGAUCUCUGCAAGAGGACAUCAAAAAUGUUUGGUCAGGACAGUAGCUUACGAUCCAUCCGAAGUUCCGUUCGUCACAUCAAAGUCCCGCACAAAGAUUGCGCAUCAGGUGCCCCGACCUUAGCAGAUUGAUUGAACCGAGGAGACCACUCAGACCAGGAGCCAAGAACCUUACCUGCUCAGCUCGGUCCCCUACGACGAGUCCGUGCAUCGCGCACCACGCUGUCGCGUCCCGCGCCAUCUCCUCCACGGCCGCGGGGUCCGGCGACGGCGGGUUUCCCUUGGCGGUGCUCAUCGCCGGCAGUGGUGGGGCGCGCGCAGAAUUUCUGGGUAAUUUGAGGGGAUAUAUUUGGCAGCUUCACUUUCAGUUAGGAGUAUAAUGUUUGGAAGCUGGAACUUUAUAGCUGUGGUGGGGAUUGGAAUUCCUAUGAAAAGGGAGGGGGCUGCGCAGAAGUAGCAGGGUCAGCAUUGGUCUCUGUAAAGAGUCUGUGCGCCUGUCGCUUUCUCUGCUUGGGCAGCCUCCAUUCCAACAUUGAAAUUCAGAGAAAUUUUGGUUGAUUAAAAUGCAGAGAAAUUUCACUUUCUCUUUAUCAAUUCAAAUCUUACACUUACAA
This is a long non-coding RNA of Brachypodium distachyon (stiff brome), 1107 nucleotides long. RefSeq lists it as uncharacterized. Lineage: Eukaryota; Viridiplantae; Streptophyta; Magnoliopsida; Poales; Poaceae. The record is from RefSeq and is a predicted model, not a curated record. The transcript is spliced from 2 exons.